CGGGAUGUGGCGCAGUCCGGUAGCGCGCGCCGUUCGGGUCGGCGAGGCCGUGGGUUCGAAUCCCUCCAUCCCGA
RNAcentral lists this transfer RNA (74 nucleotides) under Chloroflexota bacterium. RNAcentral's name for it is "Chloroflexi bacterium tRNA-Pro". It matches the Rfam family "tRNA". From Rfam's summary of the family: Transfer RNA (tRNA) molecules are approximately 80 nucleotides in length. Their secondary structure includes four short double-helical elements and three loops (D, anti-codon, and T loops). RNAcentral also lists the same sequence under 2 other names. The record is from RNAcentral. Lineage: Bacteria; Bacillati; Chloroflexota.